UAGGGAAUCUUCCACAAUGGACGCAAGUCUGAUGGAGCAACGCCGCGUGAGUGAAGAAGGUUUUCGGAUCGUAAAGCUCUGUUGUUGGUGAAGAAGGAUAGAGGCAGUAACUGGUCUUUAUUUGACGGUAAUCAACCAGAAAGUCACGGCUAACUACGUGCCAGCAGCCGCGGUAAUACGUAGGUGGCAAGCGUUGUCCGGAUUUAUUGGGCGUAAAGCGAGCGCAGGCGGAAUGAUAAGUCUGAUGUGAAAGCCCACGGCUCAACCGUGGAACUGCAUCGGAAACUGUCAUUCUUGAGUGCAGAAGAGGAGAGUGGAAUUCCAUGUGUAGCGGUGGAAUGCGUGGAUAUAUGGAAGAACACCAGUGGCGAAGGCGGCGCUCUGGUCUGCAACUGACGCUGAGGCUCGAAAGCAUGGGUAGCGAACAGG
RNAcentral lists this ribosomal RNA (429 nucleotides) under bacterium. RNAcentral describes it as "partial 16S ribosomal RNA". It matches the Rfam family "Bacterial small subunit ribosomal RNA", at positions 355 to 776 of the family's 1533-position model. The record is from RNAcentral.